UGAGGAAUAUUGGUCAAUGGACGCAAGUCUGAACCAGCCAAGUAGCGUGCAGGAUGACGGCCCUAUGGGUUGUAAACUGCUUUUAUAUGGGGAUAAAGGAGUCCACGUGUGGAUUUUUGCAGGUACCGCAUGAAUAAGGACCGGCUAAUUCCGUGCCAGCAGCCGCGGUAAUACGGGAGGUCCGGGCGUUAUCCGGAAUUAUUGGGUUUAAAGGGAGCGUAGGCCGCGUUUUAAGCGUGUUGUGAAAUGUAGACGCCCAACGUCUGCAUCGCAGCGCGAUCUGGGACGCUUGAGUACGCGCAACGUUGGCGGAAUUCGUGGUGUAGCGGUGAAAUGCUUAGAUAUGACGAGGAACUCCGAUUGCGAAGGCAGCUGACGGGAGCGGCACUGACGCUUAAGCUCGAAGGUGCGGGUAUCAAACAGG
Molecule: ribosomal RNA, 424 nt
Filed under: Verrucomicrobiota bacterium
Lineage: Bacteria; Pseudomonadati; Verrucomicrobiota
Description: Verrucomicrobia bacterium partial 16S ribosomal RNA
Rfam family: Bacterial small subunit ribosomal RNA
Source: RNAcentral